This 393-nucleotide ribosomal RNA is filed under the name uncultured bacterium. RNAcentral's name for it is "bacterial SSU rRNA". It matches the Rfam family "Bacterial small subunit ribosomal RNA", at positions 505 to 898 of the family's 1533-position model. The record is from RNAcentral.
GUGUCAGCCGCCGCGGUAAUACGUAGGGUGCGAGCGUUAAUCGGAAUUACUGGGCGUAAAGCGUGCGCAGGCGGUUUGCCAAGUCCGAUGUGAAAGCCCCGGGCUCAACCUGGGAAUGGCAUUGGAAACUGGCAGGCUGGAGUGUGGCAGAGGGGGGUGGAAUUCCACGUGUAGCAGUGAAAUGCGUAGAGAUGUGGAGGAACACCGAUGGCGAAGGCAGCCCCCUGGGCCAACACUGACGCUCAGGCACGAAAGCGUGGGGAGCAAACAGGAUUAGAUACCCUGGUAGUCCACGCCCUAAACGAUGGCAACUAGGUGUUGGGGAAGCGAUUCCUUGGUACCGUAGCUAACGCGUGAAGUUGCCCGCCUGGGGAGUACGGUCGCAAGAUUAAA